CUGCCCGCCUCAGCCUCCCAAAGUGCUGGGAUUACAGGUGUAAGCCACCGCACCCGGCCAGCUUGAACUUUUAGACAGGUCUUUUAAUAAUUCCCUAGUGCGCUCACAGUUGGAAAGAGGGUUUUUUCUCCUUCUCUGUGGAAUGAGCAGAAUUAGAGAAAGAGGGGAAAAUUUGUCACCCACUUAAAAGUAGUUGAAUAUCAAAAUACUUUAUUUCUGCAUCAUAAAUUUAUAAUUUGAACUGAUCAUUAGCUAAUAUAUAAUACAAGAAAAUGAGGAAGGAAAAGAUGUUAGUAUUUUUCAUUUCCAUAAAGUGCAGAUUUAAUUUUCAAUUGCUUGCCUUAGUAAACAUCGUCUCAUUUCAUGACCUCACCUGCCCUCACUCAAAAAGGGAGGGUAAUUUUUAUUUAACAAAUAUGUAAAACCAAGAAAAUAUGAAAGAUCCAAUAAUGUGUUUUGCAAACAUGUUUCCAGGUAAGGUUUCCAAGGACAUCAGUACUGAGUGAAAAAUAAUCCUCUACAAUCAAUAUGAAUGAAUACACUAACAAGUACAACAUUUAGACCUCCAUGCUUAUUUGGCCAUUUUAAGGUCUCCAGUUAUGAAAAAGGUACAUAACUGAACGAACAGCUUGCCUUGACGUGGCCAAAUUACUUGCACCGAAGUUGCUGGAAGCCUUUCUCUGUUUUGGCCCCUUUAAGAAGUUAAUUCUCAUAUUCCCUUAGCAAUAAUAUAAGGUCACUGUUUCAGUCCUACACACUUUUAUAGUCAAUGGGCUUCCUGGAUUACCACAUAAAGACUGGCACCCUUUUCAAAAGAAUAUUGCUAACAGGGUUAAAUGAGUGCUAAUGGCUGAACGCUUGCCAAAUGCUUCCUUCUGCGAUAGUAUAAAUAUGCAUUAUUAAAGUUGUCUAAUCAAGUAUAAAAUAUAUGCAAAACUCUCAUAAUAAAGGCAAAAUGCUCAAAGGCCAGGAAAAACCUUUUUUUUUUUUUUUUUUUUUUUUUUUUUUUAACUUUUACAAGAAAGUGCAACUGCAUGGUCUCUUGAAUGAUCUUCUAGACAAUUCUGCAGAAAACUUAGCAGUUUGGCUCAGAAAGUAGAGUUCCUCAGGAGGAAUUAAAGUUCUUCCUAGAAGAAUACAAAGUGGGCCGGGCGCGUGACAUUUCAGGCAGCUUUCUGAAAGUAAACCAUUAGCCUAUGACUACACAGUGAGACAAACUGGAACAUGUCAUAAUGAAGGCUUUCGCAUUUGUAGUGGUGCACUUUUUUGCUCUUACCCCGGGACCUCUAGCCGUUUUGUAAUGUUAUAUAAAGGAGUUACAGCACUUUGUCCAGCACUGAAGCAGGCAGGAAAUUAAUCAGCCAAGAGAAAAUCAGAAGCGUGUUCACGUGUUUCAAUGUUUUUCACGUCAAAGCUCAAAACUUGCAAAUAAAUCAUU
Long non-coding RNA from Sapajus apella (tufted capuchin), 1438 nucleotides. RefSeq lists it as uncharacterized. Lineage: Eukaryota; Metazoa; Chordata; Mammalia; Primates; Cebidae. The record is from RefSeq and is a predicted model, not a curated record. The transcript has 2 exons.